This is a long non-coding RNA of Pongo pygmaeus (Bornean orangutan), 1731 nucleotides long. RefSeq lists it as uncharacterized. The transcript is spliced from 3 exons. The record is from RefSeq and is a predicted model, not a curated record. Lineage: Eukaryota; Metazoa; Chordata; Mammalia; Primates; Hominidae.
AAUAGGUGUUGGUGCCUUUCCCCAGAUUAGCUCCCCCAAUUUCGGAGUGGCCAAAGGAUGGGGGAUAUGUCCUCCCUCCUGCCACACAAUCUGGUUUAUGACUAAAUCUAACCCCAUCCUUGUGAGCAUUUUCUUUUCUCCCGCUGAAAUGCUUGUUGGUGUUUUUUGGGAGUGAGUAGCAGGCCCCAGCAUCCUUUGAUUACCCCCUAAUGGAAUCUUUGAUGACUGAGGAAGAUGAAGGAGAGAGGAAUCCUGGCCAUGAUAAAGAUGGCCCCAAUUCUCUAAUUUUUGAGGCACUCACUAUUUCUGCAAUUGAGACCUCUAUUUCCCAAGUGUCCCUUAUUCUGUCUUUGUUAAAUUUCAGAAUGUACAUUUUUUCCUGCUGUGUGAUUGUCCAUCUGUCUGUGCCUGGACAACCACUCCAUCCCCACUGGAUGCAGUAACAACACCACUGCCCACUGGCAUCGUGAACCUGGUAUCCAUCACUGAGCUCUGCUGGGAAUAGUCUACAUGGCAGCUUCUGUGGCUGUUGCUCAGAGUGCUGGGGUUGUGGAAAAGAAAAGUGGUAUAAAUUUAAUGACACAGUUACAGAAGACUUAGACCUAAAUGAUGAGCUCUGGAGUGCGAAUGCUUUGGUGAAGAAUACAGAGCAAAAUUUUAUGAUCAAGACUUCUUAAUGCUGUGCAGUAAAGCAAACACGCACUUAUGUACGCCAAAGAUACCGAAUGCCUGCGUGCUCUUCCACCAGAGCGGGGUCUGAUAAGAACUCCUUGGGAUCACCAAAGAAGUCUCGAGUCAGCUCUGUCCAGCAGGAAGUUGAGGGCCUUUCUCUGUAAGUUUUUCCAUUGUGAAUCCAAAAUAUCUGAGACAGGUCUCAAUAAAUUUGGAACUUUGCAAAGGUUAUGGACGUGACACACCCUCAGGAAGUUUUGAGGACAUGUGCCUAAGGUGGUUGGGUACAGCUUGCUUUUACACAUUUUAGGGUGAUGUGAGCCAUCAGUGAAUGUGUGUAAGCUGUCCAUUGAUUUUGUCCAGAAAGGCAGGACAACUCGAAGCGUGGGAGGGGGCUUCCAGGUCAUAAGUAGAUAAGACAAAUGGUUGCAUUCUUUCAAGUCUCUGAUUAGCCUUUUUCGGAAUACACAAUCUAUAUGUGAGAGGAGGGGAGAGGAAUCUUCACUUAUGCCUUAGUCUGGCUUAGUAAAGCGAUAGAGCAGAAGCAGCAAUGAGAUGUGCAUUUGUCUCAGGUGAACAGAGAGAUGACAUUGUGUUCUGUCCAUUUAGGAGUCCUGAGAUUUAUUUCUUUUCACACCAUAUAACUUGUUGUGUGAUUUAGUAGGUGAUAAUGUGAUCUUUGAGAAUAUAGUAUUUGGGAUCUGAAGAUAAUUAGCUAAGCUAGGGAGAAAUUCUUAAAAUAAUCCUAAAGGGAAAAUAAAUAAAUCCCUUUUCUUAUUAUUUCCUGGUCAUUAUUUCCUUGGCAAUAACUUACUUUGCAUUUAGAAACACGCACAUAAGUUAUUUCCUUUUAGAACUGAGAUUUUUAAAAAUGUACACUUGAGAUUCUUUGCAAAAUGUUGGCAGCAUUUAUUGAAUUACACUUCAUGUCCGAAACAUAAACUAUGUCAACACUCUCAGAAUGUUGUUACUUUUUAAAGGUCUUGUUGUCAGUGAAUUUGCCUUUAAUAUAUUAAAUCAGGAAAGUAUAUAAUUUUUUGCAUGUGAAAAAUGUGAAUA